GACGAACGCUGGCGGCGUGCCUAAUACAUGCAAGUAGAACGCUGAAGGAGGAGCUUGCUCUUCUGGAUGAGUUGCGAACGGGUGAGUAACGCGUAGGUAACCUGCCUGGUAGCGGGGGAUAACUAUUGGAAACGAUAGCUAAUACCGCAUAACAGUAGAUGUUGCAUGACAUUUACUUAAAAGGUGCAAUUGCAUCACUACCAGAUGGACCUGCGUUGUAUUAGCUAGUUGGUGGGGUAACGGCUCACCAAGGCGACGAUACAUAGCCGACCUGAGAGGGUGAUCGGCCACACUGGGACUGAGACACGGCCUAGACUCCUACGGGAGGCAGCAGUAGGGAAUCUUCGGCAAUGGACGGAAGUCUGACCGAGCAACGCAGCGUGAGUGAAGAAGGUUUUCGGAUCGUAAAGCUCUGUUGUAAGAGAAGAACGAGUGUGAGAGUGGAAAGUUCACACUGUGACGGUAUCUUACCAGAAAGGGACGGCUAACUACGUG
This 495-nucleotide ribosomal RNA is filed under the name uncultured bacterium. RNAcentral's name for it is "partial 16S ribosomal RNA". It matches the Rfam family "Bacterial small subunit ribosomal RNA", at positions 28 to 507 of the family's 1533-position model. The record is from RNAcentral.